RNAcentral lists this transfer RNA (72 nucleotides) under Candidatus Iainarchaeum sp. RNAcentral describes it as "tRNA-Ala". It matches the Rfam family "tRNA". From Rfam's summary of the family: Transfer RNA (tRNA) molecules are approximately 80 nucleotides in length. Their secondary structure includes four short double-helical elements and three loops (D, anti-codon, and T loops). Lineage: Archaea; Nanobdellati; Candidatus Iainarchaeota; Candidatus Iainarchaeia; Candidatus Iainarchaeales; Candidatus Iainarchaeaceae. The record is from RNAcentral.
GGGCUCGUAGCGUAAUGGUAUCGCGCACCCAUGGCAUGGGUGAGACUACGGGUUCGAUUCCCGUCGAGUCCA